GGGGGUGGAGUGAAGUAACUGCUCGCGAGAAGAGAAAUAAAGAGGUUCCGGAUAGUAGAGGGGCAGAGUAGCGAAAAGACUUGGAGCGGCUGCGCGGUGCGGGGGGGCCGGGGCCGGGGCCGGGGCCGGCUGGCGGCUACAGCCGCGCGCAUGGCUGCAGUAACCCUGCAGUAGGGAAAAGCAGGAAUAGAGGAGCCUGUCAUCAUGCAGACCAGGCUGAGAAGCUAUCUUUUCUUCCACAUAGCAUAAUUUCUUGCCACACAGCUGAAAAAAUGUGAAAUGUCUGGAAGAAUGUAUCUUUGGGUUGCUCUUGUUCUCUGUACCUCUCCUUUUUCUGCCUUUCUGUUGCUUGCCCUCUUUGAUGUACAUUUGGUGACUUGUUCAUAGUAUGCCAUGUAACAGUAUUUGCAAGUAGUUUUAAAAUGAGUUAAAAGAACACAUUAAAAAGUCAUGCAAUUGAGUAUCUGAAGGGACAAAUUCAUAGCAAAGUUUGAGCUGUUAAAUAUACACAGAAAGCCAUGUGGCACUCAGUCUUCUGACAAAUUGUUCUCAACCAUAGUUCUACAGUAUUUUUGAACAGUAAUUCAUCUCAUUUAUUACAGCAGUGCCUUAGGGCCAGUGGCAUUGUACAAACACAGUAGUCAAUUCCUGCCCUGAAGAGUUAACAAUCUAAAUAGAUAAGACACUUGCACUGGGAGGGUAGGGGUAGGACAUGCAUGGAGAGUGAACAGGGUGAUGGCAGCAAGUGUCAUGUUCUAUGAUUUUUGGAGUGGGGUGGGUUUACUUAGGAGGGGAUAAGCUAAAUGAAAAGAUAAUCGGGUGGGGAAUGGGACAGGUGAGAGGAGCUGAGGUGAAGAGUGAGGGAGAGGGAGCAAACAGCCAAUUAACACAAGGCAGAGAAAGUCUAGUUGAAAGUGUAGAAAGUGCUGCUAUAGUUUAAAUUAUAAAUUUGUCAUCAGCAGCUUUGGAGAAGAAUAGCUACCACUAGGUAUUUUCUCAGCUUUGUCAUGUGCUGUGUGGAAAUAAAACAUCAAUUCCAGCUAUUUAACCAGCUGCCUAGCUGGAAGUAUCUGAUUUUUUUUUUUUUAACUGAUUGUGUAGCAACAGUUAUUUUCUGGUUUCAGAGUAGCAGCUGUGUUAGUCUGUAUUCGCAAAAAGAAAAGGAGUAUAUGUGGCACCUUAGAGACUAACCAAUUUAUUUGAGCAUAAGCUUUCGUGAGCUACAGCUCACUUCAUCGGAUGUGAUUUUUCUGUGAUGUUUUCUGUGAUCCUAGCACUUCCACCACUAACAGUGGAAAUCAUGACUUAUUAUAUAUUAUGAGUCACUACAUUUGCAUAAGGAAAAGAAAAACAAUCAAAUUGCUUUAUUGGUCUUACCACUUGAUUUUGUAUGAUUUCUGGUUAGGGGCAUGCAAUCCUAUCACUACUUACUCUAGUGGUGUCCUUCUGCAAGGGAGCCACCAUGGUGCUUCAGGAAGAAGAUACUUCCCUUGCAAGGAUCCUCCUCCUGUGUGACAGUUGCAAGCCAUCUGGAGACCUAAAGCUGAGGAAAUGGCUCAUUAGUUCAAACCUGAAGAAGCGCUUUCUCUACAGUGUUGAUAGAGCAGUGGAAGAGUCUUGAAGGGAGAUAUAUAAGCCCUAGGCUAAUUAAGGCAUGGUUCCCUGUAGACUAGGGAAGGUUACUACAGAUUAAUUGAAGCACUUGUCAAUUAAGGCCCUGUCAGGAACCUAAUUAAAAAAACCCUGCUUCAGGUAGACAGGGUGGAGUGAGGAAAGAGAGAGGACUGAGUUUGGAGGUGUGUUGCUGAGAAUUGAAAAACGAGAGAUCUGGAGGAAGGGAGACUCCCUCCCCCAGCGUCAAGGACCGAGAGUAACCCUACCUCAGAGGGAAGAGGGUAAGAAACCCACAGUGGUUGAGAGGGGCUGGGGCUCAGAGUGAGGAGCAAACCCAGACCCCUUCCCUGCUUCCCUCCUCUACCACCUUCUUGGGCCACUAGUGGGGCCCUUGGUGCCCCAAGAGCAGGGGAAGAGGUGGUGUUCUAGCCCCCCUGCCAAGAAAGUUUUGGGAUCCUCCAAUAUCAACACUGGCCAUUUGUCACAUGAUCAAAAGCUUGUCCCUCUCACCCCUACAGAAGUUUGUCCAAUAAAAGUUGUUAGAAACCCUGUUUCUCUACUAUACCAGACCAAUAUGGCUACAACAAUGCUGCAUAUGAACACCCUGUGAGUCAAAUCAAAUUCAGAACACUUGUUGAGUAUGACACACCAUGCAAAAGUUGCCAAACUUCUAAAAAGGAUAGAACUCUCAGAUCUCUGUCUAAGUCAGAUACAGUGCUUCAAGGAUUUGCCCACGAUAGGGUUUACAUUGGGUCUAGGGUUUAAUCCCACAUAUCCAUUGUGAUUAAUGCUCAUUUCUAAUCCAGUGGCAGGUUGCCAGGUAACAUGCUGGUAUAUUUGCUGUUUCUCCUUCCCCUCAGUUUCAGGUGAAAUUAACAGUGGUAGGAGGGCUUGCUGAUGUCCUCUUAGACUUACCACACUUACAAAUUAUUUGUAUAG
Molecule: long non-coding RNA, 2553 nt
Organism: Chelonia mydas (Green sea turtle)
Lineage: Eukaryota; Metazoa; Chordata; Testudines; Cheloniidae
Exons: 3
Source: RefSeq, a predicted model, not a curated record